ACGCUCGACACCUACGGGGGCAGCAGUGGGGAAUAUUGCACAAUGGAGGAAACUCUGAUGCAGCGACGCCGCGUGGAGGAAGAAGGUCUUCGGAUUGUAAACUCCUGUUGUUGAGGACGAUAAUGACGGUACUCAACAAGGAAGUGACGGCUAACUACGUGCCCGCAGCCGCGGUAAGUCUGAGCGGGCGUGGCAAGGACG
This 201-nucleotide ribosomal RNA is filed under the name uncultured bacterium. Its description in RNAcentral is "partial 16S ribosomal RNA". It matches the Rfam family "Bacterial small subunit ribosomal RNA", at positions 328 to 544 of the family's 1533-position model. The record is from RNAcentral.